Molecule: long non-coding RNA, 11668 nt
Filed under: Triticum aestivum (bread wheat)
Lineage: Eukaryota; Viridiplantae; Streptophyta; Magnoliopsida; Poales; Poaceae
Description: long non-coding RNA (TAES_LNC019365)
Source: RNAcentral
AAUCGCCACUUCACACAAUACAUAAAUAAAUCAUACAUCAAUCAGAGUACACACAUUGACCGACUACGGUCAAAGUCAAAAGAAAGAAGAUAACCCAACUGCUAGAUCCCUGAUCGUCCCAACUGGGCUCCACUACUGAACAACAUGAUAAGAAACAACACAACGAACAAGAUCUUCAUCGAGCUCCCACUUGAGCUCGGUUGCGUCACCUGCACUGGUAUCCUCGGCACCUACAACUGUUUUGGUAGAAUCUGUGAGUCACGAGGACUCAGCAAUCUCAUACCCGCGAGAUCAAGACUAUUUAAGCUUAUAGGAAAGGAUGGGGUAAUGAGAUGGAGCUGCAGCAAGCACUAAGCAUAUAAGGUGGCUAACAUACGCAAAUGAGAGCGAGAAGAGAAGAAACGGAACGGUCGUCAACUAGUAAUGAUCAAGAAGUGAUCCUGAACUCCUACUUACGUCAGGCAUAACCCCGAAACCGUGUUCACUUCCCGGACUCCGCCGAAAAGAGACCAUCACGGCUACACACGUGGUUGAUGCGUUUUAAUUAGGGUCAAGUGUCAAGUUCUCUACAACCGGAUAUUAACAAAUUCCCAUCUGCCACAUAACCGCGGGCACGGCUUUCGAAAGAUAAUACCCUGCAGGGGUGUCCCAACUUAGCCCAUUAUAAGCUCUCACGGUCAACGAAGGAUAAAUCUUCUCCCAGGAAGACCCGAUCAGACUCAGAAUCCCGGUUUACAAAACAUUUCGACAAUGGUAAAACAAGACCAGCAAGACCACCCGCUGUGCCGACAAAUCCCGAUAGGAGUUGCACAUAUCUCGUUCUCAGGGCACACCGGAUGAGCAAGACGUCGGGUUGGCAUAGAUCCUGGUUGCCUAGGGGGCGCCGGACAUCGCUCGGUUUGGACCAGCACUCGAAGGAGAACUGGCCCGGGGGUUUAAAAUAAAGAUGACCCUUGAGUCUGCAGAACCCAAGGGAAAAAGGCUUAGGUAGGCAAAUGGUAAAACCAAGGUUGGGCCUUGCUGGAGGAGUUUUAUUCAAAGCGAACUCACAAGGGGGUCCCAUAAAUCACCCAACCGCGUAAGGAACGCAAAAUCAAGGAACAUAACACCGGUAUGACGGAAAACUAGGGAGGCAAGAGUGGAACAAAACACCAGGCAUAAGGCCGAGCCUUCCACCCUUUACCAAGUAUAUAGAUGCAUUAAUUAAAUAAGAGAUAUUGUGAUAUCCCAACAUAAUCAUGUUCCAACAUGGAGCAAUCUUCAACUUCACCUGCAACUAACAACGCUAUAAGAGGGGCUGAGCAAAAGCGGUAACAUAGCCAAACAACGGUUUGCUAGGAAAGGAUGGUUAGAGGCUUGACAUGGCAAUAUGGGAGGCAUGAUAUAGCAAGUGGUAGGUAGCGCAGCAUAGCAAUAGAGCGAACAACUAGCAAAGCAAAGAUAGAAGUGAUUUCGAGGGUAUGGUCAUCUUGCCUGAGAUCCCGCUAGGAAGAAGAACGAGUCCAUGAAGAAGACAAACGGAGGAAGUCGAACGAAUCCUCACAACUCCAGAACGAAACUGAAGCUAACGAGAGAAGCAACCCGGAAAGAAACAAACAACAUAGUAAACAACCACCACAUACACAUGGCAUGAUGCACAAACAAGUAUGAUGCAUGUCCGAUUUAAAGAGCAUGGCAUGGCAAAGUGCAACAAACAACACUACAAAUUAAGUGGAGCUCAAUAUGUAACGAGUUGCAUAUUGACGAAACACCACAUCAAUUAUUUAGUUCUCUCUCGGUUAUGUACCCAACAAUAUUAAAUGUUGAUUAACAUGGCAAGAGGUGAAGCAUAAGUAAACUACCUAUUUAAGCAAGUUAAAUGAGGCCGGAAAUAAUAAACAACAAUUCCAGAAAAUCCCCAUAUCCAUAUUUUAGAUUUGGUACUGUUCUGCCAUAAACGCAAUUUUAAUGUUGUUAAACAGCAAAAUAAAGUGCAGCAAGUUAAUCUAUGCAUUUUUCUACCCCAUUUACAUAUGAAGUUUAUUAAAAUCCGAGUUACGGUUAUUUAGUUAUGAAAUAAAUCAUUUUAACAUGGCAAUCGAGCAAAUUUAAACAAACAACAUUUUAAAUAUUUUAAACAAGGAUGAAAGUUGCAUACUGUUAAAGAACAUGAAAAUAUGAACAAAAUGCAUAUAUGACAUGUUUCAUUUGAAUGCAUGGACCUUUAGUUAUCAACAAUGCAAAACCAGUGGCAUUUCUGCAAAUAUGCAUGCACUUGGAAUUAGACAAAUCGGAGUGAACAUAAAAAAACGAUGCGGGCCGAAUGCUGCGCACUGUGGAAGCCCAGCAGCAGAUCUGGCCCGAAGCGGCUGAGUGUCUGUGAGCAAAAAAAAUAAAAGGAAGCAGUGCAGAAAAUAGGGGCUCCUGGGAUUCGAACCCCAGACCUCCUGGAUGCAGGAGCGUGGUGCGAACCACUGCGCUGCCGUGGCUGAAGUUGAUAGGAAAGGGCGCGGCCCCUUAAGAGAUUGCCCAGGGCCGAGCCUCUCUGUAUAGGCAGAGAAGACGAUGGCUGCGAGGACGGAGCCGGCGAGGUUAGCCGUGGUGAUGACGGGGCUUCUAGGUGCAGGGGCGUGUGCGUGUGCGGGGUGAGGCCAGCGGAGGGGCGCGCUAGGCGAGAACCGGAGCACGGAGAUGCUACUGCAUCUACGCGAGCAACAGAGAACUACAGGCGCCAACCAUGAACGGCGGCCUAGUGGUGAUGAUGCAUGAGGAUAUGCAUGUGAUGUUUGCCGUGUUCUGGAGUUGCACGCGCAGGUGAAAGGACGGGGCAGCCGUGUGCAACUGUGUGUGUGCGCGCUAGGCAGGCUAGGAAAAGGGCGCGGGCGCUCGACUUGGGGCACGACAAGCAGCGGCGAUGGCAACAGGGCACGGUGAGCCGGCGGCAAAGCUGCGGAAGAAGGCGCGAGGCCAGUGGGAUGUCUACGGAGCCAACUGGGCUUCGGGAUGCACGGGAUGCAGAGAGCGUGCUGCUGGAUCCUGAGAAAAAUUCAGAAAACACCGGAGCGGCGAGAGCGCGACGCGAAACCUAUCCUAGGCACGUCUACGGCGAUCGAUGUGCGGCAGGAGGAGAGAGAGGGGGAGCAGGUAUACCUAGCUCACCCUAGGACACGGAUGCAUCGACGUAGAUGAGCCAUCGGCGACGCGGACGAGCUCUAAACCCGACGCGGCUCCUGUCCGAGGAAGAAGAAAGCAGAGGAAGAUGCCAGGCGCGGGACUUGGCGACUCCUUAUGUGACGCAGAUGUAGCAGCGGGCGAAGAGGACAUCGACGGACUUGCCGGACACGAACGGCGAGGAAGAAGAUGAAGGAGUUCACGGCGGCGACAUGGCUGGUCCUUCGGUGCACUCGGGAUGCGUUGGGGGCGAUGGAUCAGAUGGAUUGGCGUGGCUUACCGGGUGGCGGCGGAGAUGGGGGAAAGAGGGGGAUCGGGGGAACCCUAGGGGGGUAGGGGCGAAUUUAUAGGAGGGUCAGGAGGCGUCCAGGAGUCAUGGUGAAACCACGGUGGCCAUGUGCGCUCUUCACUGAGAGUUACUGUGAGAGAGAGGGUGCGUGAGGUGGAAGAAAAAGGUGAGGGGGAGAGGAUGACAGGUGGGUCCAGCCCGGUGCAUGUGGGAAAAAAUAACCAGGGAAGAGAAGAGUUGGGCUGGAUCAGCUGGGAGGAACAUAGUUAAGUGGGCUCGCUCCUCUUAACUGAAAGCCCCUUCUUUUCCUUAUUUCCUCAACCAGAACUUUAGAGAAAAGAAGGAGGUGCUAGAGGUGGAAUAUUUCAGAAAAGAAAAUAUCUCUGAAGUCUUGAUAAUAUGCACAAUUUGAAUAAAUUGGUUUGGCAAUUUUUAGAGGAAGAAAAAUAAUUCAAGUUUGAAUUGAAUUCAAACUUGAGCCAUUUUUUAACCCAACCAAAACAAUCCCAAAAUGGAUGAAAUUUGGCAGAGUGGUUAAAGACAUGGUGAGAAUUUAUAGGAAAAGAGUGAACAUUAUAUGGAAUAGAAAUAAUGCCACCUGAAUAAAUCGGUGAGAAUUGAAAGGACGGAGCUAGAGAUGGGGUGAUGCACUGUGCAAAGAGACUCCGGUUUAGGCGAGAGGGACAACGAAGCACAAGGUUGGUCUCGGAACGGUCAACGAAAGCAAGGGGGACACGACAACUACGAGCGGACGCAAUUUUUAUGAAAACAUGUAAAUGCAAAGCGCAUGAUGCUAUGAGAUGAGAUGCAACAAACAAAUAAAUAACACAGCUGACUCGCAAAACAAGGAAGGCAACUAGAGCAUCGGUCUCGGGGCGUUACAACACUCCACCACUACAAGAGGAUCUCGUCCCGAGAUCUAGGAUGGCACCGGAGAGAAGCAGAAGAGGAAGAGGUAAAACAAAGUUGCUUCUUUGACAAACGAGUGAAACCAAAGAACCUUGAGAAGUCGCAAAGCUUGAAGAAAUGUCACGACGGAGCUGAACAAAAUUUAAAACACUCCGUUAUUAAAGAGGAACAAGGAACAUUGCGAGAACCUUAGUAGGUUGAAGGACAUGAAACAAGAGCUUAACGGAUCAAAAUUAAUAUGAAACACACCGGUAGAAAAGAGAAACAAGGAACACCAUGUGAACUUUGGAGUUAAGUGACGCGAUAGAUAUUUAAACCACUCCGGUUAAAAUAAGAUAGGGAAGGAAUAAGAAUGAUAAAAUUUGGGCAGCACUCCGACUGAAAAUGGAAGGAAUUGAACAUGAUCUCGACAAGAUGAGAGGAUACUCUAUGAAUUUAACAACAUAUUGCCUCCGGAACUAAAGAAAGAAUGGCACAAGGUGUAAGAAAGAUUUCAGACAGCACUCCGGUUGAGAAGGGAGGCAAAAACUUGACAGAAUGGAAAGAACUUGAAAAGAGGGCACGACACUCUAGUUGGAAUGGAAAAGCACGAAAAGAACACGGUCCUCACAAAUCGAGAAGAUGAGUGAAGAGAGCAACAUCACCAUGUCUCCGGAAGAAAUAAAUAAUAGAAGAUAGAUCCUUGGAAUAAAGAAUGGAGAAUAAAAUGCCAACUUCUGCCACAAAUUAUCUUGGAAAGCACCCUUCCAAGAAGGUAAGAACGGAGUAGUUGGAAAACCAACAACGAAAAGAAAAAACUUGUAGUGGGCUUAUGUAAACAUCUCAACAUUAUGAGGUGACAAACGGCCACUAAAGGAAGCCAUUGGUUUGAGUGAGAGCACCAAGGCGAUGAAAAACAUCUUUCACCCAGAGGAUAGGAGAAAACUUGGAUCAUUGAUAAGCACCAUAAUAGCAACAUUCCUUAGGGAAGGCUUUAGGUGAAACACGACACAAGAUAAAUCCAACGAAGAGAUUAUUAUGAGUUGAAACAACUCAUGGAUGAAGAAAAUAAGAUGGGUUUAAAUAUCUCAUUCUUGACAACUUGUGAAUCAUGAAACAUGAAGAAAAUAGUCAAGAGUGACAUAACACCACCUCAAAAGAUCAGGUAGGAAGAAUUGCACUACGGAAUGCAAGAAUGCUUGAGCUCCAACAAGAAUCUUGAAGAACACUUCGAGAAUGAAUUAAAUCCUUGAUGAACCACCCUGUAUAGCCUCCAUGAAGAACUCCGGUAAUAAAAGAAUGAUCAAACGAAAGGGAAAGUUGAAAAGAACUCUGGGAGAAGCCUUGCAAUGAUUAGAUGAAGCUUUGAAAUGAUAUAAUUGAAAUAACUUGGAGCUCCGGAAAGGAAAAUGAGCAAAUGAGAUCAAGAAUUUUUAUGAAUCUCCGGAAUAAGGAAUUAAAUCACUUGGAUGAAACAAGAAUAAGAAUUACAUUAUGCUUAGCCUUCACCAAUUAAAUUGAUGACAAGCAAUGGAUUUAGCAUACUACUUAUGCUCAUAGAAAGGAUUAAGAUAGAUAUUGCGCAAACUUGGGAAGGUCUUCAACGAACCACUGGUAACAACGGAAGAGAAUUCUUGAAUGAACCACCGUAAGAAUUGAAAAUGAAAGUAGCAAAGGCACAAUUCGCCGGGAAGAAUUAGAAAACGAAUAAAGAUACUUGACAGAAUUUAGAUACAUGAGAACGAAGAGAUCGUGAACUCAUUAGAGGAUAUUUGAACGAUGCACCGGAAGAAUAUGGAGAUGACCAAAGAGACAUCAAUUUAGAAUAAUUGAAGAACGAAGCUGAAAACUUAGAACGAAGAAAUCUUAUGGAAUGAUGGCCUUUGGAUGAUCAAGAAAUGAAACAACUCAUGAAAUGCUCCGGAUGGGUAAGAAAAGAAUUCUCACAAUCGAAAACAAUUAUGAGAGGAUGGCAUAAGCUAGAACUAUGAAUCUUCAAGAGAACGGACCAAGAUUUAGGAGAAAUUCUUCUUCGGUCUUCAAAUGUUGAGAAUGACGACGAGAAACACCACCAUGAAUUGUUGAGAUACUCCGGGAUGAAAAUUAGAAAGAUUGAACCAACAAUGAAAAGAGUUUGAAAGAUCUUGGAGAAAGACAUUUGACUGAUGAUAAUUCAUUCUUACAUCAAACUUUGCAAUGAAUUUAAGAAUAACUCCGGAAAAAUUAGAAGAGUCAGGUAAGAUCCUGGAAAAGACCUGUGGGUUAGGCCCACUCAAAGAUACACCGUUGAAUGAUUUAAAAAAAGAGAUUGCGCCAGUUGAAUUAAAUGGCUUGAAUGAGAUAACAACCUCGAAAUAGCUUGAACGGAUCUUGAAUGAAAACACGAAUCUCCUGAGAUAACUUCAACACUCCAGAUAAACAUGAAUAGCAAGAGGUGGAUGAUUAAGAGGUGCACCGGCAUGAGAAAACAUUUGAAACAAGGAAAGGAAUGUGAUUAACACUGAAAACUUGAAUUGAAUCCACUGAAAAAGAAUACGAGAAUGAAGAAUGAUAAUCUUGAAGAACAUCUUCAUGAGAACCACUGGGUAAGAACAUUGAUUAAAAAGAAUGAAGGGACUUCACAUGAAUAAAAUGGAUACUUGGUUAAGACAUAUGAUUCCUUGAAGAAAAGGGUGGGAGGGCGGGAAAAACAAAGGCACCUUGGGACGGAUGAAACAAACACCGUUGAGAAAACUUAGAGUUGAACUUGCGGAUGUUGAAAAGAUCAGAUCCACUUGAAGAGAAGCACGCCGGUUGGAAAAGAAUUAACAUGACGACCUCGAGAUCAAGAAGGAUUAGUAUCCAUAUAGAAAUAUGAGAACACCGUUUAGGAAAGGUAUGGAUUUAACAUUUGACUUCGAAGCAACUCGAAUACCACAACUUAAAACAAAACAAAGGAUUUGGCUUGCGGAAUAAGCCGAAACAAACAUAUGAUAGAGAUUCCGUCCGAAGUUUUCAUGGUGGGGCCCACACGGGCUCGACCGUACAGCACCAUCAUGUACAAGGUAGUGCACAUGACAUACGAAGCGUCCCCGAGUCGGCAUAGCCAAGGACUCUUUAAGACACUACGAGACCACUGUAAAACCAACCGUGGAAAGGCGGACCACUAGACGUCGAACCCCAAUCUCAUCAUGCGUCUGUCGGAAAAAUAUCCUAGGAGCUACUUGAAUUCCCACUUAUAAACUCCCGAAACUUUCUGGUUAUGCAAUCUGGUGUUGGGGAUACAGGGGACACAAAAUAUAUCACCCAAACUAACAAUACCUAGAUCCUGCUGUAUCCAUCCUUCAACACAUAACCAAGAAACCUUCGGAAAUCAUUUACCUCAACCUUCGAAAAGCAUCCGUUAUACGAGUUAUGGCAAUACUCCCGAACUCCCGCCCCAGUACUGGGUGGCGUCGAGGUGAUCUCACCAACAAUUGCAUAAAAGAGAUUUCGAUGUCGGCGAAACUCAGGUAUUCCAGAACUACAACGAUAAAAUUGUGACGACAACACCUCCGAGCUCAACUCCCCGGGACACUGCCACAACCCCUAAAUGUCAGGAGGCACCAAGAACAAUGUUCCCGUCACAAAACCAUCGGAACGAUUCCAAGAUACCCGCGUGAUCCUAAAAAAAUUAGUGAAAUUUGAGGAGAGAAGAGUCAAAACUUCUACGUCAGGAGACCUCACCAAGGCGAUGAAGGGACUGAGGAGUAAAAAGAAUCCUAACACUCUGAUAUAUAUAAUCCUAGACUCAAAACAUUUUCGUUCUACACUUAACAACGCCAGCGAUUCGAUCAAGCAGGGGCUCCUAAGUCGGGGAUGGCUCUGAUUACCAACUUGUAACGCCCACAAUGCGUCUAUAUGUCCCACGUGUCGAGGCACGACUUAGAGGCAUAACCGCAUUGUGGUUUUGUCGCAAGAAGGGUCAUCUUCACACAAUCCCAUGUAAUGAACAAGAAUGGGAUAAAGAGUUGGCUUACAAUCGCCACUUCACACAAUACAUAAAAAAUCAUACAUCAAUCAGAGUACACACAUAGACCGACCAUGGUCAAAGUCAAAAGAAACAAGAUAACCCAACUGCUAGAUCCCUGAUCGCCCCAACUGGGCUCCACUACUGAGCAACAUGAUAAGAAACAACACAAUGAACAAGAUCUUCAUCGAGCUCCCACUUGAGCUCGGUUGCGUCACCUGGACUGGUAUCCUCGGCACCUGCAACUGUUUUGGUAGAAUCUGUGAGUCACGAGGACUCAGCAAUCUCAUACCCGCGAGAUCAAGACUAUUUAAGCUUAUAGGAAAGGAUGGGGUAAUGAGGUGGAGCUGCAGCAAGCACUAAGCAUAUAAGGUGGCUAACAUACGCAAAUGAGAGCGAGAAGAGAAGCAACGGAACGGUCGUCAACUAGUAAUGAUCAAGAAGUGAUCCUGAACUCCUACUUACGUCAGGCAUAACCCCGAAACCGUGUUCACUUCCCGGACUCCGCCGAAAAGAGACCAUCACGGCUACACACGCGGUUGAUGCGUUUUAAUUAGGGUCAAGUGUCAAGUUCUCUACAACCGGAUAUUAACAAAUUCCCAUCUGCCACAUAACCGCGGGCACGGCUUUCGAAAGAUAAUACCCUGCAGGGGUGUCCCAACUUAGCCCAUUAUAAGCUCUCACGGUCAACGAAGGAUAAACCUUCUCCCAGGAAGACCCGAUCAGACAUGGAAUCCCGGUUUACAAAACAUUUCGACAAUGGUAAAACAAGACCAGCAAGACCACCCGCUGUGCCGACAAAUCCCGAUAGGAGCUGCACAUAUCUCAUUCUCAGGGCACACCGGAUGAGCAAGACGUCGGGUAGGCAUAGACCCUGGUUGCCCAGGGGGCGCCGGACAACGCUCAGUUUGGACCAGCACUCAAAGGAGAACUGGCCCGAGGGUUUAAAAUAAAGAUGACCCUUCAGUCUGCAGAACCCAAGGGAAAAAGGCUUAGGUAGGCAAAUGGUAAAACCAAGGUUGGGCCUUGCUGGAGGAGUUUUAUUCAAAGCAAACUGUCAAGGGGGUCCCAUAAAUCACCCAACCGCGUAAGGAACGCAAAAUCAAGGAACAUAACACCGGUAUGACGGAAAACUAGGGAGGCAAGAGUGGAACAAAACACCAGGCAUAAGGCCGAGCCUUCCACCCUUUACCAAGUAUAUAGAUGCAUUAAUUAAAUAAGAGAUAUUGUGAUAUCCCAACAUAAUCAUGUUCCAACAUGGAGCAAUCUUCAACUUCACCUGCAACUAACAACGCUAUAAGAGGGGCUGAGCAAAAGCGGUAACAUAGCCAAACAACGGUUUGCUAGGAAAGGAUGGUUAGAGGCUUGACAUGGCAAUAUGGGAGGCAUGAUAUGGCAGCAUAGCAAUAGAGCGAACAACUAGCAAAGAAAAGAUAGAAGUGAUUUCGAGGGUAUGGUCAUCUUGCCUGAGAUCCCGCUAGGAAGAAGAACGAGUCCAUGAAGAAGACAAACGGAGGAAGUCGAACGAAUCCUCACAACUCCGGAACGAAACCGAAGCUAACGAGAGAAGCAACCCGGAAAGAAACAAACAACAUAGUAAACAACCACCAUAUACACAUGGCAUGAUGCACAAACAAGUAUGAUGCAUGUCCGAUUUAAAGAGCAUGGCAUGGCAAAGUGCAACAAACAACACUACAAAUUAAGUGGAGCUCAAUAUGUAACGAGUUGCAUAUUGACGAAACACCACAUCAAUUAUUUAGUUCUCUCUCGCUUAUGUACCCAACAAUAUUAAAUGUUGAUUAACAUGGCAAGAGGUGAAGCAUAAUUAAACUACCUAUUUAAUCAAGUUAAAUUAGGCCGGAAAUAAUAAACAACAAUUCCGGAAAAUCCCCAUAUCCAUAUUUUGGAUUUGGUACUGUUCUGCCAUAAACGCAAUUUUAAUGUUGUUAAACAGCAAAAUAAAGUGCAGCAAGUUAAUCUAUGCAUUUUUCUACCCCAUUUACAUAUGAAGUUUAUUAAAAUCCGAGUUACGGUUAUUUAGUUAUGAAAUAAAUCAUUUUAACAUGGAAAUCGAGCAAAUUUAAACAAACAGCAUUUUAAAUAUUUUAAACAAGGAUGAAAGUUGCAUACUGUUAAAGAACAUGAAAAUAUGAACAAAAUGCAUAUAUGACAUGUUUCAUUUGAAUGCAUGGACCUUUAGUUAUCAACAAUGCAAAACCAGUGGCAUUUCUGCAAAUAUGCAUGCACUUGGAAUUAGACAAAUCGCAGUGAACAUAAAAAAAGGAUGCGGGCCGAAUGCUGCGCACUGUGGAAGCCCAGCAGCAGAUCUGGCCCGAAGCGGCUGAGUGUCUGUGAGCAAAAAAAAUAAAAGGAAGUAGUGCAGAAAAUAGGGGCUCCUGGGAUUCGAACCACAGACCUCCUAGAUGAAGGAGCGUGGUGCGAACCACUGCGCUACCGCGGCUGCAGUUGAUAGGAAAGGGCGCGGCCCCUUAAGAGAUUGCCUAGGGCGGAGCCUCUCUGUAUAGGCAGAGAAGACAACGGCUGCGAGGACGGAGACGGCGAGCUUAGCCGUGGUGAUGACGGGGCUUCUAGGUGCAGGGGCGUGUGCGUGUGCGGGGUGAGGCCAGCGGAGGGGCGCGCUAGGCGAGAACCGGAGCACGGAGACGCUACUGCAUCUACGCGAGCAACAGAGAACUACAGGCGCCAACCAUGAACGGCGGCCUAGUGGUGAUGAUGCGUGAGGAUAUGCAUGUGAUGUUUGCCGUGUUCUGGAGUUGCACGCGCAGGUGAAAGGACGGGGCAGCCGUGUGCAACUGUGUGUGUGCGCGCUAGGCAGGCUAGGAAAAGGGCGCGGGUGCUCGACUUGGGGCACGACAAGCAGCGGCAACGGCAACAGGGCACGGUGAGCCGGCGGCAAAGCUGCAGAAGAAGGCGCGAGGCCAGUGGGAUGUCUACGGAGCCAACUGGGCCUCGAGAUGCACGGGAUGCAGAGAGCGUGCUGCUGGAUCCUGAGAAAAAUUCAGAAAACACUGGAGCAGCGAGAGCACGACGCGAAACCAAUCCUAGGCACGUCUACGGCGAUCGAUAUGCGGCAGGAGAAGAGAGAGGGGGAGCAGGUAUACCUAGCUCACCCUAGGACACGGAUGCAUCGACGUAGAUGAGCCAUCGGCGACGCGGACGAGCUCUAAACCCAACGGAGUUCCUGUCCGAGGAAGAAGAAAGCAGAGGAAGACGCCAGGCGCGGGACUUGGCGACUCCUUAUGUGACGCAGAUGUAGUAGCGGGCGAAGAGGACGUCGACGGACUUGCCGGACACGAACGGCGAGGAAGAAGAUGAAGGAGUUCACGGCGGCG